GACGAACGCUGGCGGCGUGCUUAACACAUGCAAGUCGAACGGAAAGGCCCUGCUUGCAGGGUACUCGAGUGGCGAACGGGUGAGUAACACGUGGGUGAUCUGCCCUGCACUUCGGGAUAAGCCUGGGAAACUGGGUCUAAUACCGGAUAGGAGCCAUUUUUAGUGUGAUGGUUGGAAAGUUUUUUCGGUGUAGGAUGAGCUCGCGGCCUAUCAGCUUGUUGGUGGGGUAAUGGCCUACCAAGGCGGCGACGGGUAGCCGGCCUGAGAGGGUGGACGGCCACAUUGGGACUGAGAUACGGCCCAGACUCCUACGGGAGGCAGCAGUGGGGAAUAUUGCACAAUGGGCGCAAGCCUGUUGCAGCGACGCCGCGUGGGGGAUGACGGCCUUCGGGUUGUAAACUCCUUUCGCUAGGGACGAAGCUUUUUGUGACGGUACCUAGAUAAGAAGCACCGGCUAACUACGUG
RNAcentral lists this ribosomal RNA (465 nucleotides) under uncultured bacterium. RNAcentral's name for it is "partial 16S ribosomal RNA". It matches the Rfam family "Bacterial small subunit ribosomal RNA", at positions 28 to 507 of the family's 1533-position model. The record is from RNAcentral.